This 448-nucleotide ribosomal RNA is filed under the name uncultured bacterium. RNAcentral's name for it is "bacterial SSU rRNA". It matches the Rfam family "Bacterial small subunit ribosomal RNA", at positions 329 to 794 of the family's 1533-position model. The record is from RNAcentral.
UGCCAGACUCCUACGGGAGGCAGCAGUGGGGAAUAUUGCACAAUGGGGGAAACCCUGAUGCAGCGACGCCGCGUGAGUGAAGAAGUAUUUCGGUAUGUAAAGCUCUAUCAGCAGGGAAGAAAAUGACGGUACCUGACUAAGAAGCCCCGGCUAACUACGUGCCAGCAGCCGCGGUAAUACGUAGGGGGCAAGCGUUAUCCGGAUUUACUGGGUGUAAAGGGAGCGUAGACGGCUGUGCAAGCCAGAUGUGAAAGCCCGGGGCUCAACCCCGGGACUGCAUUUGGAACUGUGUGGCUGGAGUGUCGGAGAGGCAGGCGGAAUUCCUAGUGUAGUGGUGAAAUGCGUAGAUAUUAGGAGGAACACCAGUGGCGAAGGCGGCCUGCUGGACGAUGACUGACGUUGAGGCUCGAAAGCGUGGGGAGCAAACAGGAUUAGAUACCCCCGUAGU